Molecule: transfer RNA, 118 nt
Filed under: Flavobacterium johnsoniae
Lineage: Bacteria; Pseudomonadati; Bacteroidota; Flavobacteriia; Flavobacteriales; Flavobacteriaceae
Also listed under: 3 other names
Description: tRNA_Ser_TGA
Rfam family: tRNA
About the family: Transfer RNA (tRNA) molecules are approximately 80 nucleotides in length. Their secondary structure includes four short double-helical elements and three loops (D, anti-codon, and T loops).
Source: RNAcentral
GAAGCAGUAGCUCAGCGGAUAGAGCAGGUAGUUUUGAAAUUAUCAAUCAAAGGUCAAUCAAAAUUUACUUCUUACGCUUUUAACGUCCAGGUCGUGGGUUCGAAUCCCACCUGCUUCA